Molecule: transfer RNA, 66 nt
Filed under: Ciona savignyi (Pacific transparent sea squirt)
Lineage: Eukaryota; Metazoa; Chordata; Ascidiacea; Phlebobranchia; Cionidae
Description: tRNA (ENSCSAVG00000012485.1)
Source: RNAcentral
GUAAAGUUAGAAUAAGUAAAUUCGUAUUUGUGUCAAAAAUAAAAUAUUGGUUGGUAAUACUUUACU